GCACGCAUGUAGAAUAUUGGUCCAGUCUGAAAUUAUUCAUAUUAUGUCUUUUAAAUGGAAAAACUUUGAACAUUUACAUUGUGAGUUUGAGAAAAAUAAUUUUGAAAUGCAUAAUAGACCAGAAUUGCAAAGAAUGCAAGAAGUAACAC
Non-coding RNA from Caenorhabditis elegans, 149 nucleotides. Lineage: Eukaryota; Metazoa; Nematoda; Chromadorea; Rhabditida; Rhabditidae. The record is from Ensembl.